AUUGUGAUUCCAGCUAGAUCACUGCGUGCGGAUGUAACAUCAAUCCGUCAGUCAGUCAGUCAGUCGGUCCAAACUGGAAUCUUCUCCGUUCUGGAUCGGCUGUGGUCUGCAGCACCACCUGCUCUGCUCUACCUCUCUCUCUCUCUCUCUCUCUCUCUCUCUCUCUCUCUGCUCUCCCUCCCUCCCUCAGCCCGCGGGAUCCGUGUUUUGCAUCGCUCCCCAAUUUGCAUUUAUUCCUCAGACUUUCCGUGCGGCGCUCCAGCCGUUCUUCUAGCGAGAGGUCGUACAACGGUGGCAGUAUCCACGCGGCCCGCGUUUACAGAACAAUACGCACAGUAGAACCCACUGGAACAUCUGAAUAAUGUUGCCGAAGCUUUCCGAAAGUACAAAUUGAGCGGUUUUUGGGUGUUUUUUUAAAAUCCAUUUGGAUCAAUCGCGUUUGGUUGCGCACCAGACGAGACACGUGCCUUCGAGGUAAACAGACAGCAGGACUGGACAGCCAGAUAGUAGCCUUGGUUAACGUUACAUUGUUUUUCUCCUGCGUUUUAAGCGUGCAUAAGCGGUUAUAACGCCACCAUAGUGGACGUAGACGUCGAGCGGAGGUUCAUUUUGUUUUCGUUUGUGCACCUUGGUUGAUAAUUGAGACGCAGUUGGACAUGUCGGAAGUACUACAAGACAAAAUGAGUCAUUAUGGAAAUGAGGAUGACGAGGGACACCUUUCCUUCACCUGUCGUCUCCAAGACACCAACAACUUCUUCAGCGGCUCGCAGGGGGGAAAACGCCCGCCCAAACUUGGACAGAUAGGCAGAAGCAAACGAGUUGUCGAGGACGAGAACGGUGUUGACGAGGCGCUAAAAAACGGGACAGAGAAAACACAGACAGAGGCUUAAACACAUCAACCCCCGGAAGGACAUAGAUUCUCAUUUUCUAUUUGAUCCAAAGACACUGUAUAUAAGCACUUUUACUCCAUGUGGCAGCAAGCACUUCCUGUCCCAUCUCCUCUCUCUCCCAGUCCUCAUGAUGAUCUCCUGAGACUUAUACUGGCAGGAUGGGGAAGCAGCCGAGAUGGAGACAGACAGAGAGAUGAAGACAGAGGUGGAGACAGAGAGAGUGAUGGAGACAGACAGAGAGAUGAAGACAGAGGUGGAGACAGAGAGAGUGAUGGAGACAGACAGAGAGAUGAAGACAGAGAGAGUGAUGGAGACAGACAGAGAGAUGAAGACAGAGGUGGAGACAGAGAGAGUGAUGGAGACAGACAGAGAGAUGAAGACAGAGGUGGAGACAGAGAGAGUGAUGGAGACAGACAGAGAGAUGAAGACAGAGGUGGAGACAGAGAGAGUGAUGGAGACAGACAGAGAGAUGAAGACAGAGGUGGAGACAGAGAGAUGAAGACAGAGGUGGAGACAGAGAGAGAGACAGAGAUGAAGAGAGAGGCGGAGAGAGAGAGACAGAGAUGAAGAGAGAGGCAGAGAGAGACGGAUGAAGAGAGAGGCGGAGACAGAGAGAGAGACAGAUACAGAGACAGAGAUAAAGAGAGAGGCAGAGACAGAGAUGAAGACAGAGAUAAAGAGAGAGGCGGAGACAGAGAGAGAGGCGGAGACAGAGAGAGAGGCGGAGACAGAGAGAGGCGGAGACAGAGAUAAAGACAGAGACAGAGAUAAAGAGAGAGGCAGAGACAGAGAUGAAGACAGAGACAGAGAUGAAGAGAGAGAUAAAGAGAGAGGCGGAGACAGAGAGAGAGGCGGAGACAGAGAGAGAGGCGGAGACAGAGAGAGGCGGAGACAGAGACAGAGAUAAAGACAGAGACAGAGAUAAAGACAGAGAUAAAGAGAGAGGCAGAGACAGAGAUGAAGACAGAGACAGAGAUGAAGAGAGAGAUAAAGAGAGAGGCGGAGACAGAGAGAGAGGCGGAGACAGAGAGAGGCGGAGACAGAGAUAAAGACAGAGAUAAAGAGAGAGGCAGAGACAGAGAUGAAGACAGAGACAGAGAUGAAGAGAGAGACAGAGAUGAAGACAGAGAUGAAGAGAGAGACAGAGAUGAAGAGAGAGACAGAGAUGAAGAGAGCGACAGAGAUGAAGAGAGAGGCGGAGACAGAGGCCCAGGUGAAAUAGGUGAAUUCUAUCAUCCAGGGUUUAGGCCCACAGAACUCUUCUAAAACAGGAAUGGCCUAAGAGAGCUACUGGGUGAGCAGCAGGCUUUUGCUCCAGCCCUACACUUUUUUUACACUAGUCAACCAUUGGUCGUACAAUCAAAACUCCUAAGCAGGCAGCCAACAAAUGUAGCCGUGUAGAAAGGGUCUUUCACACACCAGAUUCAGCCAAUCAAGUUCCUGGGUAGCAGGUGAUUAGUAGAAUCAGGUGUGUUUACAGUAUGUUUGGAGCAGCUAAACCAUGUAACCAGGAGAGGAUGAUGAAGGAGGAAGAGGAUGAAUCUAAGGUUCCAGCGGUAGAAAGAGACGAUGCUUUCGAACCCUCACAGAAAUCAGGGAAGGAACAGUAUAAAAACAGUAUAAAUGAUCUACUUAACUAAAGCACACAUUGUUAUAUCAAUCAAACCGUAUGAUAUUACAUAACCAUUCUUUCUGCUCUUGAUUCUUAUGACGACGAGUGCAAACAAAUAAUAUAGGAAACGUGUAAAUAAGAAAUGGUAGCCCCACGUUUUGUUAGCCUGGACACCAGUCUGUUCCUGCUGUCUUGUCAACUCCUUAUGGAAUUGUCAUGUUUGGCGUCAGAAUGAGUGAUAAAGAGUUGGCAAGACAGCACAAAUAGAUCUGGAAACCAGGCUAGCGUUUUGUUGCACAGAGGAGAAAAGAAGCGUGAAAUGGUUUGUUGUAAUCUAACAUAACGUGUGUGUGUAAAGAUACCUUAUUUAUUGACCCUUUGGAUACGUAUUUUCCAGUGCUCAAGGCCUGACUGAGGGACAGUUUUGUAUGUAGAGAAUUGCGAUGACAGAAUGAAUGAAAGCGAUUUCCCCUUUUUUACUUCUUAUGAAUUUUUAUGUCGCCUGAUCAGUUUUUGCAGCUAUAGAGUCAUUUAUAUACGUUAUACAGGACUGUACAUCACAUGUUUGUAAUGUUCCAAGAGGCUUAAGUCUGGAUCGUUAAAUACAACUGUACACCCUCCCCUAUUGAUAAACUAUUUCUAUUGCAUUGCGCAUUAUCGUGUGUGCCAAAUAUCAUGAGGGAUAAGCAGACCACUUGGUUGUUUAUGUUGUGCUUUCUAUACCGUUAUAAAUGUAGACAUUUUGUUCUUCUUCGGUUGUUGCCAUUGUUCAGGGCUAUUUCUUACCACUGAAUUACCAACGCAUGCAUGGCAGAAAUGGGUGGAUGCAUGGCAGAAAUGGGUUGAUGCAUGGCAGAAAUGGGUUGAUGCAUGGCAGAAAUGGAUUGAUGCAUGGCAACGUUCUAAAGAUGAUCUUAGUGUAUUCUGGAACACCUGGUACCCAGCUUUGAACGACUAACCUCCAGAACCAUCUUAAUACUACAUACCUUGUACUGUACUGUACUGUACUAUGAUCUUACUGAUUUGUACUGUAGCCUAAUAUCUUGUAAUAAAGAUUCUGAAGAAGAUAAUUAAGAAGUG
This 3582-nucleotide long non-coding RNA is filed under the name Salmo salar (Atlantic salmon). Its description in RNAcentral is "lncRNA (ENSSSAG00000096230.1)". The record is from RNAcentral. Lineage: Eukaryota; Metazoa; Chordata; Actinopteri; Salmoniformes; Salmonidae.